Molecule: ribosomal RNA, 279 nt
Filed under: uncultured bacterium
Lineage: Bacteria
Description: partial 16S ribosomal RNA
Rfam family: Bacterial small subunit ribosomal RNA
Source: RNAcentral
UGCCAGCAGCCGCGGUAAUACGGAGGGUGCAAGCGUUAAUCGGAAUUACUGGGCGUAAAGCGUGUGUAGGCGGUCUGCUAAGUCGGAUGUGAAAGCCCCGGGCUUAACCUGGGAAUUGCAUUCGAUACUGCAUGGCUAGAGUAUGGUAGAGGGAAGUGGAAUUUCCGGUGUAGCGGUGAAAUGCGUAGAUAUGUGGAGGAACAUCAGUGGCGAAGGCGACUUCUUGGCCCAAUACUGACGCUCAGGUGCGAAAGCGUGGGGAGCAAACAGGAUUAGAUA